GCGGAUGUGACGGAAUUGGUAGACGUGCCAGAUUUAGGUUCUGGUGUCGCAAGGCGUGGAGGUUCGAGUCCUCUCAUCCGCACCA
Molecule: transfer RNA, 85 nt
Filed under: Hyphomonas sp.
Lineage: Bacteria; Pseudomonadati; Pseudomonadota; Alphaproteobacteria; Hyphomonadales; Hyphomonadaceae
Also listed under: 4 other names
Description: tRNA-Leu
Rfam family: tRNA
About the family: Transfer RNA (tRNA) molecules are approximately 80 nucleotides in length. Their secondary structure includes four short double-helical elements and three loops (D, anti-codon, and T loops).
Source: RNAcentral